UUGCGAUUCUGACACAAAGCUAUCGCGUGGGCGGGUCUUACAGGGGUGCGUCCCCAUUGGCUAAUGCGUAUUUGGAGUAUUUUUGAGUGACAGCUCAGUGCCUGCCGGCCCCCUGACGUUUCAGUGCAGUUAACUUAAGAGAUUUUGGAUGACACACAAACCACUCCACAGCGGAUUCCUACAAGAUUAAUAAAAUAAUAAUGAAACAUUGUGGGACGUGCAGGACCCCGAGCAGAGCAGAGCUACGAUGCUGUCCCAGGUAACGUUAGCUAGCUCACAUCAGGCAGCAGGCAGUCCAACCAGGAGGACGUGGUAGCAGCAGAGGGAGAGGAGCCUUCAGUCUCUCUGUGGAGGAAACACUGUUUGCUAAGGCUUCUAACAGCCAGGGUAUAGACCAAUAGAGUAUGUAUUGAUCAUAUUUUACUGAGAUACUCAAUUAACACUUACAAUAACCUUUUUCUUAAGUUUAUUUUCAUUUGUGUACUUGUAGUUUCUAAGUCCAUUGUAUAUCAAUAUAUACAGUAUA
This is a long non-coding RNA of Sander lucioperca (pikeperch), 526 nucleotides long. RefSeq lists it as uncharacterized. NCBI's taxonomy places the organism in Eukaryota, Metazoa, Chordata, Actinopteri, Perciformes, Percidae. The record is from RefSeq and is a predicted model, not a curated record. The transcript has 3 exons.